RNAcentral lists this ribosomal RNA (500 nucleotides) under uncultured bacterium. RNAcentral describes it as "partial 16S ribosomal RNA". It matches the Rfam family "Bacterial small subunit ribosomal RNA", at positions 30 to 523 of the family's 1533-position model. The record is from RNAcentral.
AUUGAACGCUGGCGGCAUGCCUUACACAUGCAAGUCGAACGGCAGCACGGGAGCAAUCCUGGUGGCGAGUGGCGAACGGGUGAGUAAAGUAUCGGAACGUGCCCAGUCGUGGGGGAUAACGUAGCGAAAGUUACGCUAAUACCGCAUACGAUCUAUGGAUGAAAGCGGGGGAUCGCAAGACCUCGCGCGAUUGGAGCGGCCGAUAUCAGAUUAGGUAGUUGGUGGGGUAAAGGCUCACCAUGCCGACGAUCUGUAGCUGGUCUGAGAGGACGACCAGCCACACGGGGACUGAGACACGGCCCAGACUCCUACGGGAGGCAGCAGUGGGGAAUUUUGGACAAUGGGCGAAAGCCUGAUCCAGCCAUGCCGCGUGCAGGAUGAAGGCCUUCGGGUUGUAAACUGCUUUUGUACGGAACGAAAAGGUUUGGGCUAAUAAGCUGAGCUCAUGACGGUACCGUAAGAAUAAGCACCGGCUAACUACGUGCCAGCCGCCGCGGUAA